AUUGAACGCUGGCGGCAGGCCUAACACAUGCAAGUCGAACGGUAACAGAAAGCAGCUUGCUGCUUUGCUGACGAGUGGCGGACGGGUGAGUAAUGUCUGGGAAACUGCCUGAUGGAGGGGGAUAACUACUGGAAACGGUAGCUAAUACCGCAUAACGUCGCAAGACCAAAGAGGGGGACCUUAGGGCCUCUUGCCAUCGGAUGUGCCCAGAUGGGAUUAGCUAGUAGGUGGGGUAAAGGCUCACCUAGGCGACGAUCCCUAGCUGGUCUGAGAGGAUGACCAGCCACACUGGAACUGAGACACGGUCCAGACUCCUACGGGAGGCAGCAGUGGGGAAUAUUGCACAAUGGGCGCAAGCCUGAUGCAGCCAUGCCGCGUGUAUGAAGAAGGCCUUCGGGUUGUAAAGUACUUUCAGCGGGGAGGAAGGGAGUAAAGUUAAUACCUUUGCUCAUUGACGUUACCCGCAGAAGAAGCACCGGCUAACUCCGUGCCAGCAGCCGCGGUAAUACGGAGGGUGCAAGCGUUAAUCGGAAUUACUGGGCGUAAAGCGCACGCAGGCGGUUUGUUAAGUCAGAUGUGAAAUCCCCGGGCUCAACCUGGGAACUGCAUCUGAUACUGGCAGGCUUGAGUCUCGUAGAGGGGGGUAGAAUUCCAGGUGUAGCGGUGAAAUGCGUAGAGAUCUGGAGG
RNAcentral lists this ribosomal RNA (687 nucleotides) under uncultured Escherichia sp. Its description in RNAcentral is "bacterial SSU rRNA". It matches the Rfam family "Bacterial small subunit ribosomal RNA", at positions 28 to 704 of the family's 1533-position model. The record is from RNAcentral. Lineage: Bacteria; Pseudomonadati; Pseudomonadota; Gammaproteobacteria; Enterobacterales; Enterobacteriaceae.